Molecule: non-coding RNA, 179 nt
Organism: Oryza brachyantha (malo sina)
Lineage: Eukaryota; Viridiplantae; Streptophyta; Magnoliopsida; Poales; Poaceae
Source: Rfam
UUUAUUUUUCUGUGUCCAACGUUUGACCAUUCGUCUUAUUUGAAAUUUUUUGUGAUUAAUAUUUUUAUUGUUACUAGGUGAUAAAAUAUAAACAAUACUUUUUUACGUGACUAAUUUUUUUUAGUUUUUUAUAAAAUUUUCAAAUAAAACGAAUGGUCAAACAUUGGAUACGGAAAAAC